Molecule: long non-coding RNA, 595 nt
Organism: Salvia miltiorrhiza (redroot sage)
Lineage: Eukaryota; Viridiplantae; Streptophyta; Magnoliopsida; Lamiales; Lamiaceae
Exons: 2
Source: RefSeq, a predicted model, not a curated record
UUUAAGUAAUUACUUAUAUGCUAAGCAUGACAUGACAUUGCAUUUGCAUCAUGCAAUAAAAGUAUUUAUGAUUUAAUUGGUUUAUUUAUAAAUCCAAUUAUUAAAGAAAAUUGAGUAAGGAUAUUGUUGGUGUCCUUAGCUCAAAAGUUAGUUUUCAAUCUUUAUUAUUAAAUUUUGAGAACUCGGCGUGAUGAAUCAAAGAAUGUCUAGCACUUCCACUAUGACUUAAGAUAAGAUUAAGGAGACCUAUUAAGAAUAGAAUUUCCUGUAGGCUUUAUGAACCAAGGGGAUUAGCGCUGCUUUCUCAAGACGAGUUUAUGUGAUUAUGAUCUUCAGGCUUUGCCUAUCCAGGUUGGCUGGACGGUGCUGACGGGACUGAGUUGAGGCAAAGUUUCAAUUUCUAUAUAGACUUCCGCUGUUGUAAUAACUCUUAUACAUCUUUUGUUUUCUCAACUUAAGAUGACUUCAUGUCGAGCUUCAAUUUAAAAUUUCUAGUUUCAAGUCAAUGAACGUCGGUUGUCAGAAACAUGAAACAAAACUUGUGAUCCAAAGGGGCUUAGCCCGACUCGUUAUCUUAUUAUUCGGGUUUUAACAA